UGGGGAAUAUUGGACAAUGGGCGCAAGCCUGAUCCAGCCAUGCCGCGUGAGUGAUGAAGGCCUUAGGGUUGUAAAGCUCUUUCGGCGGGGACGAUAAUGACGGUACCCGCAGAAGAAGCCCCGGCUAACUUCGUGCCAGCAGCCGCGGUAAUACGAAGGGGGCUAGCGUUGUUCGGAAUCACUGGGCGUAAAGGGCGCGUAGGCGGCUUUAUAAGUCGGGGGUGAAAGCCUGUGGCUCAACCACAGAAUUGCCUUCGAUACUGUAUGGCUUGAGACCGGAAGAGGUAAGUGGAACUGCGAGUGUAGAGGUGAAAUUCGUAGAUAUUCGCAAGAACACCAGUGGCGAAGGCGGCUUACUGGUCCGGUUCUGACGCUGAGGCGCGAAAGCGUGGGGAGCAAAACAGGAUUAGAUACCCUGGUAGUCCACGCCGUAAACGAUGAAUGCCAGCCGUUGGGGAGCUUGCUCUUCAGUGGCGCAGCUAACGCUUUAAGCAUUCCGCCUGGGGAGUACGGUCGCAAGAUUAAAAACUUAAAGGAAUUGACGGGGGUCAUAGCUGUUUCCU
Molecule: ribosomal RNA, 563 nt
Filed under: uncultured bacterium
Lineage: Bacteria
Description: partial 16S ribosomal RNA
Rfam family: Bacterial small subunit ribosomal RNA
Source: RNAcentral